This is a long non-coding RNA of Suricata suricatta (meerkat), 4494 nucleotides long. RefSeq lists it as uncharacterized. The record is from RefSeq and is a predicted model, not a curated record. The transcript is spliced from 3 exons. Lineage: Eukaryota; Metazoa; Chordata; Mammalia; Carnivora; Herpestidae.
AUUUACCGACUGAGCCACCCAGGCACCCCUCAGUUUUGUUUUGUUUUUUAAAGAAAAAGCUCCCAGUUUGGAAGAGGGUUGAGAACAACUGGUCUAAAUUGAGUUUUAUUUACUCUUUACCCUAGCCUUGGCCCACUAUCCUGUGACUAGUUUUAAGAAGAGCUAGCUAACCUCAGACUUACCUUCUAAAUUAUGUUGCCAAUUGGCAAUUAAGGAAUUGGGGAGUCCAGGAAAAUAGCCCUUAAUGUUCCAAUUUGUAUAGUAAAACCAGCCAUGGUAAAUGAAAGGGGAUUCUCCUCUGUAUUUUUUUAAAUGGAAAGAAAAAAACACCUCUGCCCCUAACUCAUGUUUCCUGUGUUGAAUGAGAGGUAGACCAAGAAGUAUCAUCCACCCGUGAUGCAGUUUGUGUCUCUCCCCCCAGACAAUGUGUUGGUAACAAAAGUCAGCUUUCCCUAUAAUGCCUGCCUUUCCUGUGUCCCAGAAUAGCCUGUCGCCUAGGCCCAGCCAGUCCACUAGAGGAUGUGUAGAAUGUUAAAGUGGAAAGGGACCUGGAAGCUCAUUGAAUUCAGGCCUCUUGUUUAGCAGCAAGAAACCUGAGGUUCUGAGAGAUGGAGAAGGAUUGCUUCCAAUUGAAACCUCUUCAUUGUUAAUACAUUGCCUUCCCCUCCAUUGGCCCCCUAUCCUGCUGAUGUCUGUUUUUAAUAGUCUGAUUUUUAUCUGGCAGCAAGCAUUUUGCUUCCCAGAUUCCUGCUUGGAGAGGAGAGGCUCUCAGUUGGUCACCUUACAGAGCAGGUCUGUCAGCUUGAUGCAGGUGUGAGGCAGUCCUCACCACCAGGCUCUGCAGGUCAGCCUCAGGAGGAGGGCUUCAGGCGCCAGCUUCUGAUGAAAGUAAGGAGCUCCCCUGGCCCCAUUUAACACAGCUGCUGCUCCUUCAUCCCACAUCCCCGUACUGAGCCUUUUACAUGUCGUAUUCCACUUUGGCAAGAGCCUUCACAAACAUGCCAUUAACUGUAUGUACAGAUGCGAGUUGAAGCUGGUUGCUACACUACCUGGAAGGGUGAGGUUGAUGAGAGUAAUGGACCACUAUUUGACCCUAAAGGAGACGGGAGUUCUAGGAAAGAAAACUUGCCUGACACGACAGGUCUACAACUAAUCGCCAACAUGAAGGCCUGGCUCCUCUGACAGCUCUCUUUCUCACACAAACCUGCAUCCUGGUUUGUCUGGAGUCCAGUAUGUUUGGUCGGUAUGAAGUCAAGAGAUCAGUAUGCUGGGCACAGUAGCGGUGAGAAGUGGCCCCUGCAGUAUAGUGUUUUCGCCAAGGCAAUUACCAGAUGCCCAUCAUCCGCAUUAUUUCCCUCAUCCUCGCUGCAGCCCUCUCAGGCGGUGGAGUAGCCCUUUGUACAUGUGAGGAGAGGGAGGCUCAGGAGAGCCCCUUGCCACAGGUGACACAGCCAGGACUCAGACGAGAGUCACUCAGACGUGUGCAGCACAAAGCCGGCUCUUGGGAACAAAGGAACGGCGGGGGUGGGCCUCUUACCUGGCGGGCCCACCUUCACCUCGGUGCUGCGGCUGACUGCCUGGCUUCCGCGGUAGGCGCUGCAUGUGUAGGAGCCCUCGUCCCUGGGCUGCAAGUUGUGGAUCAGCAGUGUGCCAUCCGGGGACUGGUGGACGCGAUGCCCGUCAGCCCGCACUGGCAGCCCAUUCCUGGAGGGCAGAGAACACCAGGGAGAGAUGUCCACAGCCUCCAGUCUUGAUGCCCUAGGCGGCCAUGCUGCCACUCCCAGUGCCCCAAGGCCCAGAGACAAAGGAAGGAGGUGGUCGUUGUAGACAGAGGACCCUCACUUCAAGAAAGAGACGGGCCAGGGUGCCAAAAAGAACGCUAUUGGAGCAAAACAACUCAAAAGUAGAGGGAACUCACCCCAACUGAGCACACUGGUCUAAGUUACUGUGAAUUUGCCUCUUACCUACAAGGGAAGCCCUGCUCUCACUUUGUAUCAGCACGGGCUUUCCAGCAGCUGUGCAGUGCCAGACCCUGUGCUGGGCCUGCAACGCACGCGCUCCCUGCCUUGAGGGUACUGGGGUAGGGCACAGGUAUUUAGGGGCGCCUCCCCUGAGGAAGACCUAGUGGAGACCUGACUUGAGCAACUGGCCAGCAAACAGCAGGACCAGAAGACUCAGGAGCUGGAAGGUCAGAGCAGGGAGAGAAGUGGACAUGGCUUCAACAUGGGGGGACUGGCAGGGGUGUAAGCUGGGGCUAGGACAAAUGGCUCCUGCAGAAGUGCCCUUGUGGAUAAGGGGCAGAUGUGCAAGGUGAGGAGGAAGCAAUGAAGGACCACAGAGGUUGCCCAGGGUUGCUCGAUAAGUGCCCCUCCACCAUGGGGAGAUUCGGGUUGCGGAGGAUGGGUCAACAGUGAAUGCUCUAUUCCACCAUUUGGCAUUCUGGGUGCCCAUGAGAUACCAGGAGGCGUUGGAUUUGAGGUCUGUAUGCAGUCUAUCAGCACUGGGUGGCCCUGAAACCACAUGUCAACAAGUUUGCCCAAGGUGAACUUAGACCAGCCAAGGACUAAGGACAGACCCUGAGGUGCAACCACCUCCAAGAGAUUGGUGUGAAAAGGCAAACCAGCCAGGAAAACAAGCAGCAGCCAGAGAAAGAACCCCAGAAGACAGUAGUUUCCUGGAGCCAAGUGGAGGGAGCAUGUCAAGAGGUACAAAUGGUCAGCAGAAGAACACCUCAGGUCAUGUGGGGACUGAGCUAUGUCCAGAACAUUUAGGAACAGGGCAGUAUCCCUGGAGUGGUAGGUGGAUAUGAGCCCCUGUAUGAGGGCUGACCUGUGAGCAAGGGUGAACAGGUGGAGACAACCAGUAUGAACAGCUGCACUGAGGGGCAGACCAGAUGAGGCCAAGGUCGGCAGGGAAAUAUGGGGUCAGAGGAGGGUAUCUUUUAUGUUAUGCUUUGAAAGCGGGGGUGGGGGGUCUUGAGCAUGUUUGCUGCUUAUAAGAUCAAGGAGAAGCAAAAUUGAAGAUAGAAGCCCAAAAGGAUAAUCAGAGGUCUGCCCUGAUCAAGGCAGGCCUGCACCAAGAACAACCGGCAGAGGAUCCUCACCUCCCUCCUGCGUGCAGGCCCCUUUCCUCUCCAGUACUCACCUUUGACGCUUGAUCAAAAACAUCGUUCCCCCACUCAGUCUUUAAGGCUCAGCCAGUCACCUCCACAGCCACCCCUUCCUUGAUUCCCCCAGAUAGGAGGCAGCCUCAGUGGUCUACGUACAGAUAGCACUGAGGGCAAACCUCUGGAACUCAGGACACCUGAUCAUCUGCCUGGGGAGUAUCUGGGGCACUCGGAUUACCCCAAGAUCCCCAGAGCCUAAGCUACUCCAGACACAUUGCAAGGAGGAAGGGGGCCAAAAAAUUGGAUGGAUGGAUGGGAUAAGCAGCUGUCUGGGUAAACAACACCAAAGUCCCCACAGCUGAGCAUAGCCCAGUGGUUCUCAACACUGGUCUCCAGACAUUGUCAACAGUCAUGACCUGGGAGGAAAUACUGCUGGCAUGCAGUGGGUGGAUGACCUGCAUGCUCCUGAAAUCCUGCAAUACACAGAACUCCAACAACCAAAAAUUAUCAGGUCUGAAAUGUCAGCAGUGCUGAGGUUGAAAGACCCUGGUGUAGCCCAAUCAACAGAGAAUAGUCCUGUGGGGCCCCACUGUGUAGGGAAGGGGGUGCCACAGCCAGGCCUACAGGUGGGAGUUGAAGAACGAAGGCCAGGGGCAAUAGUGACAACACUAUUGCUGCAGUAUCACUACAGAAAGGUGUCUUCUCUGAACUGCACAGACUCUGAGGGCCAGAUCUGCCUGGAAUGGAGCCUUACCUGGACCACCUGAUGUUUACACUUUCUCCUGUCACCACGCACAGCAGCCUGGCCGUGUCACCCUCUGGCACCAGCAUAGUAGAGGGCAGCUCUGUGAUGGCCAGCUCCCCUAGGCCAAGGAGGAGGCACUGUCAGCCACCACACCAGUCCUCCCCCACCUGUGCCACCUGACCUCAGGACUGCCACCUCACCCAGAACUCUGAGCUGGACCCAUCUCUGGUCUCGGUCCUGCCCGUUGAAAGCAACACAGGCAUAGAAGCCACCAUCUUCCACAGCCACGUCGCUGAUGACCAGAGAGCCAUCAGGCUGCAGCAGGUGUCUAGGCACAAAGCACAGUCAGGUAGCUCCAUCCCAAGGGGGCUGGCAAGAAGUGGGGGCAGGGCAGGGUCUUCCUUUCCCCGGUAAGGGGCUGAGUGGCCACCACUGUUCAGGGGGUGGAGGGGGUCUGAGCAAAGGGGCAUCUAACCUUAGGCCCUGAGGUCCUCCAGCUGCUGGCUCUCUCAUUUACCUGAAGGUGCCUGACUUUUAAGCCUGACAAUAAACCAUUUCAAGUCUCCAAAUACAAAAAUAAUUCUAGUUUGGGUUUCUAGUAUUUGCUCUACUCAUUCAGUAGACUCAAAGCUUCUGCCACUUA